RNAcentral lists this ribosomal RNA (468 nucleotides) under uncultured bacterium. RNAcentral's name for it is "partial 16S ribosomal RNA". It matches the Rfam family "Bacterial small subunit ribosomal RNA", at positions 28 to 507 of the family's 1533-position model. The record is from RNAcentral.
GACGAACGCUGGCGGCGUGCUUAACACAUGCAAGUCGAACGGAAAGGCCCUGCUUUUGUGGGGUGCUCGAGUGGCGAACGGGUGAGUAACACGUGAGUAACCUGCCCUUGACUUUGGGAUAACUUCAGGAAACUGGGGCUAAUACCGGAUAGGAGCUCCUGCUGCAUGGUGGGGGUUGGAAAGUUUCGGCGGUUGGGGAUGGACUCGCGGCUUAUCAGCUUGUUGGUGGGGUAGUGGCUUACCAAGGCUUUGACGGGUAGCCGGCCUGAGAGGGUGACCGGCCACAUUGGUCCUGAGGUGCGGCCCAGACUCCAACGGGAGGCAGAGGUGGGGAAUAUUGCACAAUAGGCGGAAGCCUGAUGCAGCAACGCCGCGUGCGGGAUGACGGCCUUCGGGUUGUAUACCGCUUUCGCCUUUCACGAAGCGUGAUUGACGGUAAUGGGUAAAGAAGCACCGGCUAACUACGUG